This is a small nucleolar RNA of Hypanus sabinus (Atlantic stingray), 319 nucleotides long. The record is from RefSeq and is a predicted model, not a curated record. Lineage: Eukaryota; Metazoa; Chordata; Chondrichthyes; Myliobatiformes; Dasyatidae.
GCCACGUGAUGAUACAAAGGCGAGUGUGACCUCGCGGUGCCAAGGUCGAGGGGAGGCUGCCCGAGCCCCGAGGGUCCGUAAUCUUGGUGGGCACGUCCAAGGCCUGCGUGCUCGCUGUAAGGCCGGACCAACAGCAAGAUCCAGCGCCCAGCGACCGGGGAGGAGGAGCCCGUCACCCCGGCAACGCUCGGGAGCAGGGCGCGGACACGGGGGGGGGGGGGGGGGAGGGGGGGGCGGGAGGCUCGCCGGAGUUCGGGCAGGAACCCCCCAGUCGACCUGCCGGAGUGGGUGAUCGCACAUCUUUGGUAAUCUGAUGGCC